RNAcentral lists this ribosomal RNA (499 nucleotides) under uncultured bacterium. Its description in RNAcentral is "partial 16S ribosomal RNA". It matches the Rfam family "Bacterial small subunit ribosomal RNA", at positions 28 to 507 of the family's 1533-position model. The record is from RNAcentral.
GACGAACGCUGGCGGCGUGCCUAAUACAUGCAAGUCGAGCGAAUCUGAUGGUAGCUUGCUCCUUGAUGAUUAGCGGCGGACGGGUGAGUAACACGUGGGUAACCUGCCUGUAAGACUGGGAUAACUCCGGGAAACCGGUGCUAAUACCGGAUAACUUUUUUCUUCGCAUGAGUGAGAAUUGAAAGAUGGCCUUGACUAUCACUUACAGAUGGACCCGCGGUGCAUUAGCUAGUUGGUGAGGUAACGGCUCACCAAGGCGACGGUGCGUAGCCGGCUUGCGGGGGUGAUCGGGCAAAUAGGGGGUCGGACGCAGCCCGGAGUCCAGCCGGAGGCAGCAGUAGGGAAACUUCCGCAAGAGACGCAAGUCUGACCGAGGCAAGCCGCGUGAGUUAUGAAAGUUUUCGGAUAGUAAAACCCUGUUGUUAGGGAAAAACAAGUUUCGUUCGAAUAGGGCGGUACCUUGACGGUACCUAACCAGAAAGCCACGGCUAACUACGUG